Molecule: ribosomal RNA, 620 nt
Filed under: uncultured bacterium
Lineage: Bacteria
Description: bacterial SSU rRNA
Rfam family: Bacterial small subunit ribosomal RNA
Source: RNAcentral
GGGUGAGUAACACGUGAGCAACCUGCCUUUCAGAGAGGGAUAGCUUCUGGAAACGGAUGGUAAUACCUCAUAACAUACGGAUUCGGCAUCGUUUCUGUAUCAAAGAUUUAUCGCUGAAAGAUGGGCUCGCGUCUGAUUAGCUGGUUGGUGAGGUAACGGCCCACCAAGGCAACGAUCAGUAGCCGGACUGAGAGGUUGAACGGCCACAUUGGGACUGAGACACGGCCCAGACUCCUACGGGAGGCAGCAGUGGGGAAUAUUGCACAAUGGGCGCAAGCCUGAUGCAGCGAUGCCGCGUGAGGGAAGAAGGUUUUCGGAUUGUAAACCUCUGUCAUCGGGGACGAAAAUGACGGUACCCGAGAAGGAAGCUCCGGCUAACUACGUGCCAGCAGCCGCGGUAAUACGUAGGGAGCAAGCGUUAUCCGGAAUUACUGGGUGUAAAGGGAGUGUAGGCGGGACUGUAAGUCAGAUGUGAAAUAUGCCGGCUCAACUGGCAGACUGCAUUUGAAACUGCGGUUCUUGAGUGAAGUAGAGGUAAGCGGAAUUCCUAGCGUAGCGGUGAAAUGCGUAGAUAUUAGGAGGAACAUCAGUGGCGAAGGCGGCUUACUGGGCUUUAACUG